Molecule: unclassified non-coding RNA, 376 nt
Filed under: soil metagenome
Description: partial contains 5.8S ribosomal RNA, internal transcribed spacer 2, and large subunit ribosomal RNA
Rfam family: 5.8S ribosomal RNA (bases 1-120)
Source: RNAcentral
GAUGAAGAACGUAGCGAAAUGAGAUAAGUAAUGUGAAUUGCAGAAUUCAGUGAAUCAUCGAAUCUUUGAACGCAUCUUGCGCUCCUUGGUAUUCUGAGGAGCAUGCCUGUUUGAGUGUCAUUAAAUUCUCAACUACACUGACUUUGAAUUGGUGUGGCUUGGAUUUGGGGGGAAAAUUGUUGUGGGCUUUUUGUAUAGUCUGCUCCCCUGAAAUUGAUUAGCGGUACCUUUGUGGAACUGUCUACAGGUGUGAUAAUUAUCUACAUCUUAGACAUCUGCUGGAAUGCUGCUUUCUAAACCUUACUUGUAUUGACAAUCUUGACCUCAAAUCAGGAAGGACUACCCGCUGAACUUAAGCAUAUCAAUAAGCGGAGGA